Molecule: ribosomal RNA, 468 nt
Filed under: uncultured bacterium
Lineage: Bacteria
Description: partial 16S ribosomal RNA
Rfam family: Bacterial small subunit ribosomal RNA
Source: RNAcentral
AACGAACGCUGGCGGCGUGCUUAACACAUGCAAGUCGAACGGAAAGUCCCUGCUUUUUUGGGGUGCUCUAGUGGCGACCGGGUGAGUAACACGUGAGUAACCUGCCCUUGACUUUGGGAUAACUUCAGGAAACUGGGGCUAAUACCGGAUAGGAGCUCCUGCUGCAUGAUGGGGGUGGGAAAGUUUCGGUGGUUGGUGAUGUACUCGCGGCUUAUCAGCUUGUUGGUUGGGUAGUGGCUUACCAAGGCUUUGACGGGUAGCCGGCCUGAGAGGGUGACCGGACAAAUUGCGCCUGAGAUAAGGCCCAGACUCGUAUGGGACGCAGGAGUGGAGAAUAUUGCACAAUGGGAGGAAGCAUGAUGAAGCAACGCCGCGUGCGGGAAGACGGGCUUGCGGUAGGAAAGCGAUUUCGCCUGUGACGAAGCGUGAGUGACGGUAAUGGGUAAAGAAGCACCGGCUAACUCCGUG